Molecule: non-coding RNA, 71 nt
Organism: Ciona savignyi (Pacific transparent sea squirt)
Lineage: Eukaryota; Metazoa; Chordata; Ascidiacea; Phlebobranchia; Cionidae
Source: Rfam
GCAUUGGUGGUUCAGUGGUAGAAUCCUCGCCUGCCACGCGAGGGGCCCGGGUUCGAUUCCCGGCCAAUGCA